GACGAACGCUGGCGGCGCGCUUAACACAUGCAAGUCGAGCGAGAACCAGCCCUUCGGGGCUGGGGAGAGCGGCGAACGGGUGAGUAACACGUGGGUAAUCAACCCUCGGUACUGGGAUAGCCCGGGGAAACCCGGAUUAAUACCGGAUGGCCCUUCGAAUCCUCGGAUUUGAAGGAAAAGGUAGCUUCGGCCUCCGACCGGGGACGAGCCAGCGGCGGAUUAGCUUGUUGGUGGGGUAACGGCCUACCAAGGCGACGAUCCGUAGCUGGGCUGAGAGAACGAUCAGCCACACUGGGACUGAGACGCGGCCCAGACGUCUACGGAAGGCAGCAGUGGGGGAUCUUGCGCUAAUGCGGGAAACCGUGACGCAGCGACGCCGCGUGGGGGAAGAAGGCCUUCGGGUUGUAAACCUCUUUCAGUAGGGACGAAGCUACUCGGGUUAAUAGCCCAGAGGGUGACGGUACCUCCAGAAGAAGCCCCGGCUAACUACGUGCCAGCAGCCGCCGUAA
RNAcentral lists this ribosomal RNA (509 nucleotides) under uncultured bacterium. RNAcentral describes it as "partial 16S ribosomal RNA". It matches the Rfam family "Bacterial small subunit ribosomal RNA", at positions 28 to 523 of the family's 1533-position model. The record is from RNAcentral.